CUCGUAGGUGGCCAACUAAGUCAGACGUGAAAUCCCUCAGCUUAACUGGGGAACUGCGUCUGAUACUGGAUGGCUUGAGUCUGGGAGAGGGAUGCGGAAUUCCAGGUGUAGCGGUGAAAUGCGUAGAUAUCUGGAGGAACACCGGUGGCGAAGGCGGCAUCCUGGACCAACACUGACACUGAGGAGCGAAAGCCAGGGAGCAAC
RNAcentral lists this ribosomal RNA (204 nucleotides) under uncultured bacterium. RNAcentral describes it as "partial 16S ribosomal RNA". It matches the Rfam family "Bacterial small subunit ribosomal RNA", at positions 568 to 772 of the family's 1533-position model. The record is from RNAcentral.